CCUACGGGUGGCAGCAGUGGGGGAUAUUGCACAAUGGGGGGAACCCUGAUGCAGCGACGCCGCGUGGGUGAAGGAGUAUUUCGGUAUGUAAAGCCCUAUCAGCAGGGAAGAAUUUAGACGGUACCUGACUAAGAAGCCCCGGCUAACUACGUGCCAGCAGCCGCGGUAAUACGUAGGGGGCAAGCGUGAUCCGGAUUCACUGGGUGUAAAGGGAUCGUAGACGGCCAGGCAAGCCUGGUGUUAAACCCCGGGGCCCAACGCCGGGACUGCUCUGGAAACGGUCCGACUGGAGUGCGGGAGGGGCAGGCGGAAGUCCAGGUGUAGGAGUGAAAUGCGUAGAUAUCAGGAGGAACACCAGCGGCGAAGGCGGCCUGCUGGACCGCGACUGACGUUGAGGCGCGAAAGCGUGGGGAGCGAACAGGAUUAGAUACCCUAGUAGUC
Molecule: ribosomal RNA, 441 nt
Filed under: uncultured bacterium
Lineage: Bacteria
Description: partial 16S ribosomal RNA
Rfam family: Bacterial small subunit ribosomal RNA
Source: RNAcentral